CUCCAUUUACCUUUGGGACCUGUCAGCUGUGGCAUACUCCCUUUUGUAGCCAUAGAAGAGCUUUUUAUUUAUUGGAAAAGCUGUUAACCUUUAUAUAGUAUCAGAGUCUGACUUGCACAAGUAACAUUC
This is a small nucleolar RNA of Mastomys coucha (southern multimammate mouse), 129 nucleotides long. RefSeq annotates it as small nucleolar RNA SNORA24. The transcript has a single exon. Lineage: Eukaryota; Metazoa; Chordata; Mammalia; Rodentia; Muridae. The record is from RefSeq and is a predicted model, not a curated record.